GACAGAGGGUGCAAACGUUGUUCGGAAUUACUGGGUGUAAAGCGCGUGUAGGCGGCAUACCAAGUCUGUUGUGAAAUCGCCCGGCUCAACUGGGCGGGGUCAAUGGAAACUGGUAAGCUGGAGGACGGUAGAGGCGAGUGGAAUUCCCGGUGUAGUGGUGAAAUGCGUAGAGAUCGGGAGGAACACCUGUGGCGAAGGCGGCUCGCUGGGCCGAUCCUGACGCUGAGACGCGAAGGCGUGGGGAGCGAACGGG
This 253-nucleotide ribosomal RNA is filed under the name uncultured bacterium. RNAcentral describes it as "partial 16S ribosomal RNA". It matches the Rfam family "Bacterial small subunit ribosomal RNA", at positions 524 to 776 of the family's 1533-position model. The record is from RNAcentral.